This 497-nucleotide ribosomal RNA is filed under the name uncultured bacterium. RNAcentral's name for it is "partial 16S ribosomal RNA". It matches the Rfam family "Bacterial small subunit ribosomal RNA", at positions 28 to 507 of the family's 1533-position model. The record is from RNAcentral.
GAUGAACGCUGGCGGCGUGCCUAAUACAUGCAAGUCGAGCGAACAGACGAGGAGCUUGCUCCUCUGACGUUAGCGGCGGACGGGUGAGUAACACGUGGAUAACCUACCUAUAAGACUGGGAUAACUUCGGGAAACCGGAGCUAAUACCGGAUAAUAUAUUGAACUGCAUGGUUCAAUAGUGAAAGACGGUUUUGCUGUCACUUAUAGAUGGAUCCGCGCCGCAUUAGCUAGUUGGUAAGGUAACGGCUUACCAAGGCAACGAUGCGUAGCCGACCUGAGAGGGGGAAAGGACACAAGGGAAAUGAGACACGGGCGAGACGAAGCAGGGAGGCAGCAGGAGGGAGAAGUACGCAAGGGGCGAAAGCAUGAAGAAGCAAAGCCGAGUGAGUGAUGAAGGUAUUAGGAUCGUAAAACUCAGUUAUGAGAGAAGAACAGAUGUGUAAGUAACAGUGCACAACUUGACGGUACCUAAUCAGAAAGCCACGGCUAACUACGUG